CCCAUAUGAAAAUAGCAUUAAUUAUUGCAAAAAUCUCAUUUUUUGUCAUAACAAAACAGACAAAAACAGUAACAGUUGUAGGUUGGCAUUAAGAACGUGCGGGUCGUAUUUUUAAUAACUUAAGAUAUUUGUCCGAUUAUGGAUUAUUGGACACAAAUAGGAUCAUCGGCAUGUUUCCACACAAAAUUUGCCAUGUUCAGCUUUUAGCUGUCCUCCUAAGAAACUCUUCAUUUUCUUGUUUUGCCCCUUCUCAUUUCCAGUAAUUGAAAUGUCAAAAACAAUUUGUUGGAUUAAUAAAACAAAUUCAAUGGGACACGUGAAGAAACAUGUGUAGCUUGGCGCUUGUUUCAUUGAAAAGGAGAGAAAGAGACCAAAACAAAGAGAUUAAUGCUUUUACAUGAGUAUUGAGACGCAUGAGAGCAUUGUAGGUGUGGGCCUAAGCCCUGACACACACACACAACAGCACUUUUAGUCAAAACAAAAUAAAUGUUGCAAGUUAAACACUGCAUGAACCUGGAAGGACACAGAAGUGUUUGAUCUUUUUUUAAUCUUGAUGUCUUUCUUUCUGUUUGAACCACCCAGCCGUGACAAAACCACAUAUAGUUUGUAGUAUGUCGUGUAAAAAAAAAAUCCAAAGAAAAUGGCAGUGAUAAAUAAAUAAGAAUCAUAGAGCGACGUCAGGACACUGGUGUAACGCUAUUCAGAUAGCACCUUGUUCUUUACACCUUUGAUGAGAUUUUGAAAUGCACCAAUUCAUCUUUUUGUUCUCUUAUCACAUCUGUGUAAUUCCAGUGUUUGCAAUGAGUUAAAUAUAAUUAAAUACGGUUAAUGAGGGAACCAUCGCUGUUCUACGGAGCUAAUAAUUGAUAACAGGUCAAUCUACACAGCUUCAUCUUCGUGUAGCUCGUGGAAAUACUGCUCAUUUCAGUGAACAUCUGUUUCUUGUUGCAGAUUAUUGCCACUAAGACAAUCUGAUUAAAGUAAAUUUUCAAUAAACACAAAAGUGUAAUGUCCAAUUUCAUGUCAAUUAUUGUGGCUGAUUGUGGCUUUCAAAACAGUCUUUCAGCAACAGACUUUGUUAUGCGAACCCCAUUUAACCCCCAUUUGUCGACAUCUAAGGGCGGUUUCUUUCAGUUGAUAUCGAAACAAGGUUUCAAGAAGAGUUCUGAAAUUGCACUAUUGUCCACAGUCCUGAAGCGAUGCAGUUUCAGUCCCACAGGUUCUGCGCUUUGGCGCAAACUGUCAGUCUUCAUACCGGCAACAGUUGUUGUAGAGGCAAGACAAGGUCCCUCUUUUAUUUAUAUUCCAUUGUCUUCUUGCCGCCGUGCUUUCUCCAGGCAGGUGGAGUUACAGGUUUCACCAGACAGUCGUUAGUAGUGUUACGGAGUGAAUAAGUACUUAAAUGAAGGGAGUCACUCUGCUUCACCUCUGAAUCCGCAAAAUACGCCAAGUUCACUUGGCCUCCUGAGGUGGGAACAUAGAAAGAUGUGCUUUAGACUGCAUAAUAUGGAAUAUAGAAUAAAGAAAUAUUACAUACGGUCAUUCCAAUCUAAACAGU
This is a long non-coding RNA of Gasterosteus aculeatus aculeatus (three-spined stickleback), 1558 nucleotides long. NCBI's taxonomy places the organism in Eukaryota, Metazoa, Chordata, Actinopteri, Perciformes, Gasterosteidae. The record is from Ensembl.